UCCCUGGUGGCUCAGAUGGUAAAGCAUCCACCUGAAAUGUGGGAGACCAGGGUUUGAUCCCUGGGUUGGGAA
RNAcentral lists this transfer RNA (72 nucleotides) under Bos taurus (domestic cattle). It matches the Rfam family "tRNA". From Rfam's summary of the family: Transfer RNA (tRNA) molecules are approximately 80 nucleotides in length. Their secondary structure includes four short double-helical elements and three loops (D, anti-codon, and T loops). The record is from Rfam by way of RNAcentral. RNAcentral also lists the same sequence under 1 other name. Lineage: Eukaryota; Metazoa; Chordata; Mammalia; Artiodactyla; Bovidae.